AGAGUUUGAUCCUGGCUUAGGAUGAACGCUAGCUACAGGCUUAACACAUGCAAGUCGAGCGGAACUGCUUCGGCAGUUUAGCGGCAGACGGGUGAGUAACACGUAUCCAACCUUCCCCUUACUCGGGUAUAGCCUCGGGAAACUGAGAGUAAUCCCCGAUGUGGUGUACGCUUCGCAUGUAAUGCACACCAAAGAUUAAUCGGUAAGGGAUGGGGAUGCGUUCCAUUAGCUAGUAGGCGGGGUAACGGCCCACCUAGGCGAUGAUGGAUAGGGGUUCUGAGAGGAAGGUCCCCCACAUUGGAACUGCGACACGGUCCAAACUCCUACGGGAGGCAGCAGUGAGGAAUAUUGGUCAAUGGCCGGGAGGCUGAACCAGCCAAGUAGCGUGCAGGAAUGACGGCCCUACGGGUUGUAAACUGCUUUUGUGCGGGAAUAACGGUCGACACGUGUGUUGAUGUGCAUGUACCGUACGAAUAAGGAUCGGCUAACUCCGUGCCAGCCGCAGC
This 506-nucleotide ribosomal RNA is filed under the name uncultured bacterium. Its description in RNAcentral is "bacterial SSU rRNA". It matches the Rfam family "Bacterial small subunit ribosomal RNA", at positions 8 to 518 of the family's 1533-position model. The record is from RNAcentral.